RNAcentral lists this ribosomal RNA (254 nucleotides) under uncultured bacterium. RNAcentral's name for it is "partial 16S ribosomal RNA". It matches the Rfam family "Bacterial small subunit ribosomal RNA", at positions 524 to 776 of the family's 1533-position model. The record is from RNAcentral.
UACGUAGGGGGCAAGCGUUGUCCGGAUUUAUUGGGCGUAAAGAGCGUGUAGGCGGCCAUGUAGGUCCGUUGUGAAAACUCGAGGCUCAACCUCGAGACGCCGAUGGAAACCAUGUGGCUAGAGUCCGGAAGAGGAGAGUGGAAUUCCUGGUGUAGCGGUGGAAUGCGCAGAUAUCAGGAGGAACACCGGUGGCGAAGGCGGGUCUCGUGGGCCGAUACUGACGCUGAGGAGCGAAAGCGUGGGGAGCGAACAGG